This 403-nucleotide ribosomal RNA is filed under the name Typhlops pusillus (Hispaniola worm snake). RNAcentral's name for it is "partial 16S ribosomal RNA". It matches the Rfam family "Bacterial large subunit ribosomal RNA", at positions 1968 to 2594 of the family's 2925-position model. The record is from RNAcentral. Lineage: Eukaryota; Metazoa; Chordata; Lepidosauria; Squamata; Typhlopidae.
UUUGUCCACUAAUUAUGGACCUGUAUGAAAGGCCACAUGAGAAUCUAACUGUCUCUUGUAACCAAUUUAUAAAACUGAUCUUCCAGUCCAAAAGCUGGAAUUAUACUAUAAGACGAGAAGACCCUGUGAAGCUUAAAAAACCCCAUUAAACCAACUAAUGAGUAUUUUUAGUUGGGGCAACUUUGGAAAAUAGUUCAACCUCCAAAAGAAAAACACCCACCAAGACCAACAAGUCAACCAAGACCCAGUAUAACUGAUAAAUGAACCAAGUUACUCCAGGGAUAACAGCGCAAUCUUCUUCAAGAGCCCAUAUCAAAAAGAAGGUUUACGACCUCGAUGUUGGAUCAGGACACCCAAAUGGUGCAGCCGCUAUUAAAGGUUCGUUUGUUCAACGAUUAACAGU